UGAGCGGCGGACGGGUUAGUAACGCGUGGGAAUAUACCCGACACUAAGGAAUAGCCUCUGGAAACGGAGAGUAAUACCUUAUACGCCCUUCGGGGGAAAGAUUUAUCGGUGACGGAUUAGCCCGCGUUAGAUUAGAUAGUUGGUGGGGUAAUGGCCUACCAAGUCUACGAUCUAUAGCUGGUUUUAGAGGAUGAUCAGCAACACUGGGACUGAGACACGGCCCAGACUCCUACGGGAGGCAGCAGUGGGGAAUCUUGGACAAUGGGCGCAAGCCUGAUCCAGCCAUGCCGCGUGAGUGAUGAAGGCCUUAGGGUCGUAAAGCUCUUUCGCCAGAGAUGAUAAUGACAGUAUCUGGUAAAGAAACCCCGGCUAACUCCGUGCCAGCAGCCGCGGUAAUACGGAGGGGGUUAGCGUUGUUCGGAAUUACUGGGCGUAAAGCGCGCGUAGGCGGAUUAGUCAGUUAGAGGUGAAAUCCCGGGGCUCAACCCCGGAACUGCCUUUAAUACUGCUAGUCUUGAGUUCGAGAGAGGUGAGUGGAAUUCCGAGUGUAGAGGUGAAAUUCGUAGAUAUUCGGAGGAACACCAGUGGCGAAGGCGGCUCACUGGCUCGAUACUGACGCUGAGGUGCGAAAGUGUGGGGAGCAAACAGGAUUAGAUACCCUGGUAGUCCACACCGUAAACGAUGAAUGCCAGUCGUCGGGUAGCAUGCUAUUCGGUGA
RNAcentral lists this ribosomal RNA (718 nucleotides) under Roseobacter sp. RED15. RNAcentral describes it as "bacterial SSU rRNA". It matches the Rfam family "Bacterial small subunit ribosomal RNA", at positions 92 to 846 of the family's 1533-position model. The record is from RNAcentral. Lineage: Bacteria; Pseudomonadati; Pseudomonadota; Alphaproteobacteria; Rhodobacterales; Roseobacteraceae.